UACAGAGGUCUCAAGCGUUGUUCGGAUUCAUUGGGCGUAAAGGGUGCGUAGGUGGCGCGGUAAGUCGGGUGUGAAAUUUCGGAGCUUAACUCCGAAACUGCAUUCGAUACUGCCGUGCUUGAGGACUGGAGAGGAGACUGGAAUUUACGGUGUAGCAGUGAAAUGCGUAGAGAUCGUGAGGAAGACCAGUGGCGAAGGCGGGUCUCUGGACAGUUCCUGACACUGAGGCACGAAGGCCAGGGGAGCAAACGGG
Molecule: ribosomal RNA, 253 nt
Filed under: uncultured bacterium
Lineage: Bacteria
Description: partial 16S ribosomal RNA
Rfam family: Bacterial small subunit ribosomal RNA
Source: RNAcentral